This 468-nucleotide ribosomal RNA is filed under the name uncultured bacterium. RNAcentral's name for it is "partial 16S ribosomal RNA". It matches the Rfam family "Bacterial small subunit ribosomal RNA", at positions 28 to 507 of the family's 1533-position model. The record is from RNAcentral.
GACGAACGCUGGCGGCGUGCUUAACACAUGCAAGUCGAACGGAAAGGCCCUGCUUUUGUGGGGUGCUCGAGUGGCGAACGGGUGAGUAACACGUGAGUAACCUGCCCUUGACUUUGGGAUAACUUCAGGAAACUGGGGCUAAUACCGGAUAGUAGCUCCUGCUGCAUGGUGGGGGUUGGAAAGUUUCGGCGGUUGGGGAUGGACUCGCGGCUUAUCAGCUUGUUGGUGGGGUAGUGGCUUACCAAGGCUUUGACGGGUAGCCGGCCUGAGAGGGUGACCGGCCACAUUGGGACUGAGAUACGGCCCAGACUCCUACGGGAGGCAGCAGUGGGGAAUAUUGCGCAAUGGGCGGAAGCCUGAUGCAGCAACGCCGCGUGCGGGAUGACGGCCUUCGGGUUGUAAACCGCUUUCGCCUGUGACGAAGCGUGAGUGACGGUAAUGGGUAAAGAAGCACCGGCUAACUACGUG